This 2685-nucleotide ribosomal RNA is filed under the name Triticum aestivum (bread wheat). Its description in RNAcentral is "partial small subunit ribosomal RNA". Lineage: Eukaryota; Viridiplantae; Streptophyta; Magnoliopsida; Poales; Poaceae. The record is from RNAcentral.
CAGCAAAGGAAGCAGGUCAUCUUUCUCUCUCCUUCCUCCAGCGGUCUAUGCGGGCGGGGCGAGGUUGGGAGAAGAGGAGGAGUGCGUGCCGUGGAGGAAAGAGGAGGGAGAGGGAGAGAGAGUCUGGGUGACCGCCGCCUCUGACCUCCGUGUUGUGACGUGCGCGGCCGGCCGCUCUCCUCGACGCGACGGCGGCCGCGUGGCUGACGCAGAUGACGGAGCGGAGGGGCAACUGGAUUUCUUCUGUAUAACAUAGAAGUUACCGAAAGUGACGACCCGUUUUAGUUCGCUACCUUCCGGAACACCAACAGCAAGGGUACCGACACGGCAAGUGAAAAUACGUCCCAAAUUUCAAACUACAUCCUACCCGUGUGUUCAAACUACAAACGUCAAUGUCUAAAAACAGUUUCGGGCGACUUUGCUUCAAAUCAAGUCGUUUGGUACAUACAACCUUCUUUCGUUUAAAGAACGGAAGACUUAGGAGGCAUCGGUGGUAUAAAAUAAAGUCUGGCUUAACAGGGUCGAGUCACAUAGAGUCACUUCAUCGCCCAAGUACGUUCCGGACCGGCUGCCGUUGCUGAAAUCCCCGACGGCACGAGACGUAUGAAGCAGAUCCAUUUAACACGAUCGAAAGUCUAAUAAGUAAAAGCAAAAUGGGAUAGUUUCUAGAAGAGUCUAAUCAAUUGGUCCGAUACAUUAAUACCACAACACUAAGGCUCCCGAGGCAACCUCCUAGUCGAAACCAAGUCUGAAGUCUCCGUCCAAAACCCGUAUGGCGUCGUGUUCGUCUCCGUCUAGAGUCAGUUACGAUGACGUCAACUACUACGGGACUUCGAAAGAAGUCAUUGACUGAGUCGCACGACGACAAGAGAUUCCAGCAACUCACGACUCUUGUCCGUUAUAUUAAUCCUAAAAUUGCUCUUCAACCUCCUCUAUUUUUGAAAGUCCUUCACAAAUCCGCUCAAGGUACGGCUUUUAUUACAAUACACUCGUCUCUCACGUCCGAACACGAGAAGACAACUUCUCGAACUCGUACUCUCUAACUUAGUUGUGUAUUCAGUACUCUCGUAUAGAAAUCUGCUCCUCUCCGCUGACCAGUUUCUUUAAUUCUGGGAACUUUUUUGGUCUGGCUCCCAGUCAAGGUUCCGACGAUUCGUUCGAUUUUACGUUCUAUAUCACCAACUCUCUCUACGGUAUGUCCUAGUCCACUUUUAGUAGUAUGUACCUGAUUUCCUCCCUUUUCGUCGGUCCAGAUUCUAAUUCCAGGACCCGCUAUUCCGCUACCCGCACCUCUCGACGAUGCUCGAACGCGUCCGCCGCAUGAGUUGGAGCACGACGUGUGCGAGUUCGUGGACCGCCGGCAGCAGUUACCCGAGGAGCAGGUACUAAUGGACCUGUUGUACUUGGAGCUCCUCCAACACUUCCCCUUGUAGACACUGCGGCAAGAAAUCCACGAGCGGGUACAGAUACAUUAAUAGAGAAAUAACGAAGAUUUAAUUACGGUUGUCUAAUCGCACGAAGACUCUAUAGAAGGUUCAAUGACCAUUGAUGUUUUUAAUCUGGUAUACAACUGAAGAUGGAUUAGUAUAGGAUGAUUAGUUUCUUGAAUGGGAUUGUUAGUUUCUCCAGUAGCGUAACCGAGUGACAAAUUAGUUCUACACAUACAUACGUUAACACUAGACACUCCACAGUUAACACUAGACACUCCAGAGGUAAAUGUACUCUUGUUUCUGUACUCUAUAAAUGUUAUUGAGAUCUGGAAAGGGACGUCUAUUAUUAUUACCACGUUAUGACGUAUCCUCCUUCAACAAACCCGGAAAAUGACUACCUAUAUAAAUAAUGAAAACUAGGAGUAGUUAUUAGAGGUCCGGAAACCCUCAAACGAUCGUCAGGACCAGUCUGAACCUGGUCCCUGAUCUCUCAAGGACAAGACGCGGAAUACGCGGGCUUGUGGAGCGACCGCGUGUGUCGGCGUGGAACAACCCGGCCGGGUACUUCCUCCUAGCGUCGCUCCAGCUUUUAACGUUUUUUCACGAAAGGUCCUAAGCUUGAGUCCCCUCCUUCUACCACUUCGGUUUCUACUCGUUGAGACUAACCCCUUGCUGCUGGCCGCUCGUCGUCGGGUAUCUCUACCGGCCGAGGUAAGCUGGUACUGUGCUCGCUGAGGCCUCGAGGCCGGACCGACGAGGAAGGGGUACGGACAGGAUGAGUAGGAGGGUACGAAGAGGUCUGGUUCGUACUUCUGGUGUGAUCGCUCCGAGAGAAUACCGGCGCUGGACACGGGCUAGUUCUUAGUGCUAUACACCACCGCGGCCUAGCUCUUGCGUCCUCUGCGACAGGACACCCCUUCUCUUUCUCCAAUUGUACCAUAUUUUAUUUCAUCAGUAAAAAGUACAUCACUUUGAAAUCAAAACCCGUUCUACUAGUUUUUAUUUUUAUAUUGAUUACGUUGUCCUCUUGGUGUAUACUUCAAUAGUAGUUGAAUUCUAGAACUGGUAUUUUAACUAAAAGAAAUCCGUAACAUGGUGUGCGUUCUAACGGUGUUUAGUGUUACUUUACACACAUGCUUAGAGAACAAGCCAGGAUUUUGACCUAAACAUUCAGUACGUUGACUCGUAUCUGAAAAAACACACGCCCUCUUGACCUGUAUAAUACAACUAAGACAGGAUUUUAUCCUUGAUACGG